This 253-nucleotide ribosomal RNA is filed under the name uncultured bacterium. RNAcentral's name for it is "partial 16S ribosomal RNA". It matches the Rfam family "Bacterial small subunit ribosomal RNA", at positions 524 to 776 of the family's 1533-position model. The record is from RNAcentral.
GACGUAGGGCGCGAGCGUUGUCCGGAUUUAUUGGGCGUAAAGAGCUCGUAGGCGGCUUGUCGCGUCUGCUGUGAAAACUGGGGGCUCAACCCCCAGCCUGCAGUGGGUACGGGCAGACUAGAGUGCGGUAGGGGAGAUUGGAAUUCCUGGUGUAGCGGUGGAAUGCGCAGAUAUCAGGAGGAACACCGAUGGCGAAGGCAGGUCACUGGGCCGCAACUGACGCUGAGGAGCGAAAGCAUGGGGAGCGAACAGG